GUUGAACGCUGGCGGCGUGCCUAACACAUGCAAGUCGAGCGGAGGAAGGGAGCUUGCUUCUGGAUUCAGCGGCGGACGGGUGGGUAAUUCCUAGGAGUCUGCCUUGUCGUGGGGGGUGACGUCCGGAAACGGGCGCUAAUCCCGCAUACGUCCAGAGGGAGAAAGUGAGGGAUCUUCGGACCACACGCUAACUGAUUAACCUAGGUCGGAUUAGCUAGUUGGUGGGGUAAAGGCCUACCAAGACGACGAUCAGUAACUGGUCUGAUAGGAUGAUCAGCCACACUGGAACUGAGACACGGUCCAGACUCCUACGGGAGGCAGAAGAGGGGAACAUCGGACAAUGGGCGAAAGCUUGACCAAGCAAGGCCGCGUGUGUGAAGAAGGUCUUCGGAUUGUAAAGCCCGUUAAGUUGGGAGGAAGGGCAGUAAGUUAAUACCUUGAUGAUUUGACGUUAACAACAGAAUAAGCAACGGCUAACUACGUG
RNAcentral lists this ribosomal RNA (484 nucleotides) under uncultured bacterium. Its description in RNAcentral is "partial 16S ribosomal RNA". It matches the Rfam family "Bacterial small subunit ribosomal RNA", at positions 28 to 507 of the family's 1533-position model. The record is from RNAcentral.